This 5854-nucleotide long non-coding RNA is filed under the name Lynx pardinus (Iberian lynx). Lineage: Eukaryota; Metazoa; Chordata; Mammalia; Carnivora; Felidae. The record is from RNAcentral.
CAAACCCAGCUCGCUAACGGGCGGCGGGCGGAGUAGAGCUCCCAGGCUCCCGAAGCUUCCCACAUCUGGAGGAUGACGACCCUCCCCUGCCCACAUCUGGAGAGCAUCCAGCUACAAACCGGCGGGGCACGUCUCCUCUCUUUUCCUGGCCUGGAUCCCAACCCCCCAAGGAGGACUGAGGUGUGUGUACCGAGGUGGGGCUCGUCUGGGGUAUCAGCCAAACCUGCUCGCGGCUCUGCUCCCACUCUGAAGCCCCCUCCCUCCCUGAGCAGCGCCCCCCCCCCCACACUCUCAUCUGCCCACCUUCCAGGCUCACUUCUCCGACUCACCUGGCUUUCGGUCCCCUCCGGCGGCUCGGCCCGCCCCCCUGCGGACCCCCCAACCCGGCCGUCGUGCCCUGGAGGAUAUGGGUUACAGACCGUGCGGAGACACCAGCUCCGCGGGCGGCUGUCCUGGCUCAAGUAGAAGAAAACCACCGGGGCCAGCGCCGGGUACGGCAGCCCCUCCGCCUCGGAGUCCGCGCUGCCCGGGUCCUUUUCCGUCGACCCCGGCCCCGGCCGGCCCCCGGCCCCCGACAGGUCGUUGAGCCGCAUGAAGCUCCGGGGCUGUCCUGACUCCUCGGUGCCCGCUCCAUCCUCCUCCUCGUCCAUCCUCUGGCCAGCCGGGGCCCCGGGCGGUCUCGAGAGGGGCGAGCGGCGCCCCUCAGAGGAGGUGUCCUCACGCAACCGGGGGGCCCCGGCGGGGGCGCAUCUGGGGGGCUCUAGGGCGCAGGCUGAGCCCCCGGGAGGGCCAGUUCAGCCCAGCUCCCCCUGCCCGCAGGGGCAUGCUGCCCGCGGGGCGCCGGGUCGCAGGGAAGCCCCGCCCGGCGCGAGUCCCGCUUCCCCAGGGCUCCUGGGGCCCCCCGGGCCAGCCGGCCGGCUCCCCCUCACUUUGUUCCGGCUUCUUCGCUUCGCGCCCAGGCUCCAGUCGCCCGAUUCGGCGCUACCUUCGGCGAAGCGGCCGGGAGAGGGGGAGAGAGAAGGGGGUCGGAGAACAGGGGGUACGGGGGAGGGGCGCCCCCUCUUCCUGCGGCGCAGCUGGAGCAGGAUCUAAGGGGUCAGCAUCGUCCCGGCUCCGCGCCAGCGGCGGCGGGGGGAGGGGAAGAGGGAUCUCUUUGGGGGUGGGUUUGAAGGGGGUGGGGGGCGGCUCCUUCCUCCGCCCCGCGGCGGGCUCCCGGUCCGGGAGGGGCGGGGAGACGGUGGGGGGCCGUCCCGGGCGGGGGUGGAGGCGGAGAUGCCGCCGCCGCAGCCGCCGCGGUGGCUGCCGCUGCCGUAGCUGUCGCCGGCGCCACUGCCUCCUCCUCCGGCCGAGACGCGGAGCGAGCGAGCGAAAGCGGCCGCGAGGAGCCCGGCGCACACCACAGCUGGAUCCCUCACUCCAACUUCAAGCCUCGGCCCCGCCUCUCCCCAGCCAGCCUCGCAGCCAAUCGCUGCGCGCCGCCGGCCCCGAGCCCCGCGCCCAUUGGCGGGCCGCCGUGGCAGUGCGGGCGGGGGCGCCGGGGGAGAGAACCACAGCUGGAAUCCGGUUCCCACCCUGAAGCCCAGGACCGCCCCUCUCCCCUCCCCUUGCCCCUGGGUCCGCUCCCGAAGGCCAGAGCCAAUUAGACGGCUACCCAGACCGAACCCAUUUUCCUAUUGGCCGCUGGGGUCUCUGGGACUCCCCUGGAGGGAGCCCCGGGGAAUCAGAGUGUUCGGCGCCGGGUCCCGGGAUAGCGCUGCGGGCCCCGGGGCAUCCUUUGUCCAAGACCCCUGAAUUGGACCGCAGCCGGAGGGCGGGGCCCAGCUCUGGGCGGGCCUGGGCAGAAGAGAGGCUGGCGGCCGGGGCUGUGGGUGGUGACCAGGGUCCCCAGAGCGAAACCCUGGGUGUCCACCGGAUUAAUCGCCUACCCUGGAGUCGAGCCCGGGAGCGCGACUGAAGAAGGGGAGGAGCGGAGUAGGAUGUCCCGGGGGUAGGGGCUUCAGGCUUGGAGAAACAGGCGGAGCCUAGGCAAGUCCGGGGCAAGCAAGGUCUGGGCGUGGUUUCCACCAACCUCCUUAUGUAGACCCCUCUCCCAGGUCCACUUCUGCGACGUUGACCCUGACCUUCUAACGCUAAGCCGCCGACCCUGACCUCAGGUCAACACUCCUGAGCUUCCUCCUCUCUGCCCCUAGGGAUCCUUUGGAGGCUGUGGAUCUCUCGCAGGGGCUUCGAGCUCGAACACGUGGCCCCAAACAGGUCAAGCCAGUCCCAGAGCCCAGGUCCCCAAGAUCAGCUGAGGAGCAGAGAGAAGCUCCCUCGAAGGGACCUGCGGGGGCCUCCGGUGUGUGGGAGGGAGUGGAAGCACGGAGCUGGGCUUUGCUGGCUCUUGGCCUGCAAGGUCUUACCAACCUCCCACCCCGUGUCUCAGUUUUUCCCUCUCGAGUUCCAGUACGGCUGGGAAGGCAGCCGCAGGACAGGAGCUUCUCGUGGCUGCUCUCGCACACCUCUGCUACCGGGGGAGCGGGUCCUCGAGUGUCUGCAGCUCUCCACUCGCGCACACGCUCGUGUGCCCCGGGAACCUCGCCCCGCCCCACCUUCGCGAGUCCCCGGGCUCAGUCAGCUCCUGCUCCCUCUCACCGCCAGCGCCGCCCCAAAAGGCUGUAGGUGCCCGGGUGCAGAGCGCCGCGGGAGCGCUGGGCGCUGGAGCGAGGUGGGGCGGAGAGGGCGUCGAGCAUUAGACGUCCGGAAAGCACUUCCCCACCUCUGGGAAGGUGGACACGGCGGCGGGACCAAGAAGGUCAGUCAGUGCUGGGUCCCGAGACUUCGGGGCGCUGACGCCACUGCGGAGAGGCAGAGGCGUGGACCAGAUGAUCUCCCGUCCCCGCCCCCCCCUCCCCCCGGGCCACCCGAGCAGCCCCCGCGUGCCUCCGGCCGCCCGGGGUGGGUGUCUCAGCCCCCUCGAGGGCGGGCUGCAGCCAGUGCAGUGGGGAGGCGCCGAGGGGUUGCAGCCUCUCGGGUUGCCCUUUCGCCAAAUCCGGGCACCGAGUUGUGUAAAUGAGGCCGAGCUCAUUUGCAUUGCAUGCUAAUGAGCAGAUCCCUUAAGUGCCUUUCCCUCCUGGCGGGAGUCUCUGCUCUCAUUCCGUGUGUGCCGCGCCAGGCUUGAACUCUCAGCGGUCUUCUGGGAGAGGGGCCUAUUUAUGGUUCACUCCACGUGUCUGACACCUUCAUCCCUCCCGCAGGUCCGCAGUCUGCCUGGUCGGCCUGCCCUUCCCCCACAGUGUCAAGAAGCCCCAGGGCUGGCACCAGGACGUAGGGACUUUAAUCAUCCCCUCUUUGCAGAGGGUACAAUGAGCCCAGAGAGGCUUGCCCAGCCCAGUGGUCAAGUUUCCUGGUGGUCAGCAGGUCCCACACCUCCAUCCAUCAUCCAGGCCACCCCUGUCUCUGGGCUGAGCUCUAUUCUAGAGCAUACCCAGGAAGGUGGCAGGGUGUGGGGCAGACACAUUUACCUCCCUGGCCUUGGGACCUGGGGUGACCUGCCCCCUAAAGCAUCCUGAUCCCUGGGUGGGGGCACCAGGGGACCCCGCCUCAGAUGCUCUCUUAGCCUGAGUGGGUAAGGGGAGAAGGGAAGCAAGACCUACAGAGAAGGCAAAAAAAAAGGGUGAAACCCUCUUUAACUCCUACCUUCCAAGUCUCAGCUCCACCAUCACCUCCUCAGAAUGGCCUUUUUCAGCAAGUAUUGCAGUGCUUACUAAGUGUCAAGGUGCUGAGGACACAGUACAGAGCUAGACAAGAAUCUGGAACCUCAAAGGCUUCACCCAGACUCGGAUUAUAGGUUUAUGUUUGUAGUAAUGAAACCCCCCUCUAGGCUCUAUGUUCCCUCGGGCAAGACUUUAUGUCCAUUUUGCUCACCAGAGCCUGGUCCCAUGUUUGGCACAUAGUAGGUACUUAAUAAAUCUUUAUUAGAUGAAUAACCUUAGGCAGGGAGGAGAAUGAGAGGGACAAGAAAUUCCUUUCCUUGGGCCUCAGUUUCCUAACAAAGAAGUUAGGCCUAAGUGUGUCUAAGAUGUCCUCUGGGUUUGAGGGAGAGCCUUCAUACCUGCUCUGCCAGCCCCACCAGCCCCCUCCAACCGUCUCCCCCUUACACCUCCUUCACAGCCUGGCUGGCUCCCUCAGGAACUGAGAUAAUCUUCCCAUCUCUGACAUGCUCUGCUCAGCGAUGACACAUCAUUCCAUGUAGUCACCUCACAGCCUUGGGAGUUGGGUGGAGGUCGUCCCAUUUUUUGGAUAAGAAAACUGAGGCUUGGGGAGAUGACCUUAUUUCAGUGACUUCUCAAACUGGGAGGUCCUGUCUCCAAUGGCACUGGCCCACAGCUCCUCCAGAACAGCCCCUGCUGGCUGAGCGAGGAGCGGAUGCAAGCGGGACCAGCAAAGGCUGCAGACUUUAAAAAUCCCGUAUCUGAGCAAGACUUACGUUCAGCUUUGUCCUAGUCAGAAAAUGCUAGCUCUCCCGGGAGCCCUAACCCUUUAAGGCCCUAACUGCUUCCUUUGAACCUGUUACAGGAUCCCUUUCUCAAGCACAUGCCUGGUAUCAGAGGAAGGGAACUGAGGACACACAGAGCAGAGUGAAGGCUGGCUAGAGAGGUAGGAAACACCAAAUGCACCUCCUUUCACAACUGUGCCUGCACCUCCUGGAGGAAGAGGAAGGUUCAGCAGUUUUUACUGUACCCUGAAGGCCCCAGAAAGAACCAGAUGUGAUGAGUGGUCGCAGGUCCAUCUGUUACCCUCCCUGGGACUUGAAUAUCUAACCAUCGAAGGCCAAAGGUACCUGCCUCACUGCCUCAUUCGUAUGGGUCAAUGAGACGGACGCAGAGGGUUUUGCAAACUGCCCAGACUUUCCAGAGCCAGGGCUGGGGCUGCCAAAAAGGCCACCUGUGCUUCACCACACUCCAUCCUCCCUCCUCACUGCCCACCCCCCCUCCCCAGACCCGGCUCCACUGGCCCAGUCCUCAGACUUCCUGGCCAACACUGAGCAGGCUCUAGCCAGAAAAGGGCCAGCUGACCUUGUUGGCCAGAGCCCUAAUCCCCUCCAGAUGGGCCAAGGUGGCUUGCACCACCAAAAGCUGCCCAGCCAAAGCUGACCCUGGUCCCACUGAGCAUGUGUGGCUGUGUGUGACCAUGUGCAGACCUUGCAGUGACAGUCCGGUCUCCCACUCCUCCCCACUGCUGACAUCCGCACAAACAGUGGCCCCACUCCAGUCUCGCCUCCAACAGCCUCUUCUGUCUGUCUGUACUGGGUGGCUCUGGGGCUGCGACAGUGCCCAGGCUCAGCAGACCCCUGAAGGGUGUGGGGAGGGAGAAGCUCCUCCCNGGAGGGGUGGGGGGGGGGAGACCCCCCCCCCCCCCCCCCCCCCCCGCCUGUCAGCCUCAUCCCGCUGCACCUGCCCUUCCAAAGCAUGCUUCCCAGUACCUUCCCCGCGGCGGAAGCUAGAUGGGGUUUCUGGGGUCUGUGAAGAUGUGGAAGCCAAGGACAGGACUUGUGAUCAUCUCCCAACACGGAAGGGACAGGAGGAGGCCACAGAAAAGUACCAGCUUUCCCUGCAGCAGGAAGGAACCCGAUUUGGAGAAUGACUUCCAACCCAACGGAUGUUCCAAAUGAAGGAGAACUCUCCCCAGACUGGUUUGUGUGAAAGCAGGGGCAGGGACAGUAUGACCUCCUACAGGGAGGCCUCCAUCCUGGUAAGGCUGGGGGCUGGGUGGACACCCCCAAAAUGACCAUCCCUGGUUCUUAGCUCCCAUGAUGUGCCAGAGAAUAUGCAAAUGUUACCCUUCCUUGAAAAAUAAACGCUCAUGUGAAGCA